This 211-nucleotide ribosomal RNA is filed under the name uncultured bacterium. Its description in RNAcentral is "partial 16S ribosomal RNA". It matches the Rfam family "Bacterial small subunit ribosomal RNA", at positions 142 to 334 of the family's 1533-position model. The record is from RNAcentral.
AAUAACAGCCGGAAACGGCUGCUAAUACCGCAUAAUGCAGCGGCUCGACAUCGAGACAGUUGUUAAAGCGGAGGAUCCCGCAAGGGACUUCGCGCCUGAAGGGGAGCCUGCGGCAGAUUAGGUUGUUGGUGAGGUAAUGGCUCACCAAGCCUGCGAUCUGUAGCCGGCCUGAGAGAGCGGUCGGCCACACUGACACUUAAAUACGGGUCAG